AGUGGCAAAUGUUAUGUGCUUCAGAGGGAAUUAAUAGAACAGGGCAAUUAUCAAGUGAUCCAUCCCCUGUUGUCCACCCUCAGCUCCUGGCAGUUGGAGGCUUAGAGACACCCACAGCAUGGGGUUGCAUCCCUGACCAUCUUGGCUAAUAG
This is a long non-coding RNA of Dermochelys coriacea (leatherback sea turtle), 152 nucleotides long. RefSeq lists it as uncharacterized. The transcript has 3 exons. The record is from RefSeq and is a predicted model, not a curated record. NCBI's taxonomy places the organism in Eukaryota, Metazoa, Chordata, Testudines, Dermochelyidae.